Molecule: ribosomal RNA, 254 nt
Filed under: uncultured bacterium
Lineage: Bacteria
Description: partial 16S ribosomal RNA
Rfam family: Bacterial small subunit ribosomal RNA
Source: RNAcentral
CACGUAGGGGGCGAGCGUUGUCCGGAUUUAUUGGGCGUAAAGAGCUCGUAGGCGGCUCGGUAAGUCGGGUGUGAAACCUCCAGGCUCAACCUGGAGACGCCACUCGAUACUGCCGUGGCUAGAGUCCGGUAGAGGAGCGUAGAAUUCCUGGUGUAGCGGUGAAAUGCGCAGAUAUCAGGAGGAAUACCAGCGGCGAAGGCGGCGCUCUGGGCCGGUAUUGACGCUGAGGCGCGAAAGCUAGGGGAGCAAACGGG